UACGUAGGUGGCAAGCGUUGUCCGGAUUUACUGGGCGUAAAGAGCGCGCAGGCGGUCGUUCAAGUCGCGUGUGAAAGCCCCCGGCUCAACUGGGGAGGGUCACGCGAUACUGAUCGACUGGAAGGCAGGAGAGGGUAGUGGAAUUCCCGGUGUAGUGGUGAAAUGCGCAGAUAUCAGGAAGAACACCAAUGGCGAAAGCAGCUCUCUGGGACGGUACUGACGCUGAGACGCGAAAGCGUGGGGAGCGAACAGG
This 253-nucleotide ribosomal RNA is filed under the name uncultured bacterium. Its description in RNAcentral is "partial 16S ribosomal RNA". It matches the Rfam family "Bacterial small subunit ribosomal RNA", at positions 524 to 776 of the family's 1533-position model. The record is from RNAcentral.